UAACACGUGAGCAACCUGCCUUUCAGAGGGGGAUAGCGUUUGGAAACGAACGCUAAUACCGCAUAAAAUAUCCAGCAGGCAUCUGCAGGAUAUCAAAGGAGUAAUCCGCUGAAAGAUGGGCUCGCGACCGAUUAGCUAGAUGGUGAGGUAACGGCUCACCAUGGCGACGAUCGGUAGCCGGACUGAGAGGUUGACCGGCCACAUUGGGACUGAGACACGGCCCAGACUCCUACGGAAGGCAGCAG
This 245-nucleotide ribosomal RNA is filed under the name uncultured bacterium. Its description in RNAcentral is "partial 16S ribosomal RNA". It matches the Rfam family "Bacterial small subunit ribosomal RNA", at positions 111 to 354 of the family's 1533-position model. The record is from RNAcentral.